This 462-nucleotide ribosomal RNA is filed under the name uncultured bacterium. RNAcentral describes it as "partial 16S ribosomal RNA". It matches the Rfam family "Bacterial small subunit ribosomal RNA", at positions 28 to 523 of the family's 1533-position model. The record is from RNAcentral.
GAUGAACGCUGGCGGCGUGCCUAAAACAUGCAAGUCGAGUGCACUUCGGGUGCACGGCGAACGGGUGAGUAAUACAUUGGAAUCUGUCCUAUACACACGGAUAACGUACCGAAAGGUACGCUAAUACGGGAUAAAGUUGUUGGAUGGCAUCUUCUAACAAUCAAAGCUCCGGCGGUAUAGGAUGGACCCGCGUCUGAUUAGCUAGUUGGUGAGGUAAUGGCUCACCAAGGCGACGAUCAGUAGCCGACCUGAGAGGGUGAUCGGCCACACUGGAACUGGGACACGGUCCAGACUCCUACGGGAGGCAGCAGUGGGGAAUAUUGCACAAUGGGCGAAAGCUUGAUGCAGCAACGCCGCGUGAGCGAUGAAGGUCUUCGGAUCGUAAAGCUCUGUCCUCAAGGAAGAUAAUGACGGUACUUGAGGAGGAAGCCCCGGCUAACUACGUGCCAGCAGCCGCGGUAA